Molecule: long non-coding RNA, 253 nt
Organism: Arabidopsis thaliana (thale cress)
Lineage: Eukaryota; Viridiplantae; Streptophyta; Magnoliopsida; Brassicales; Brassicaceae
Product: other RNA
Exons: 1
Source: RefSeq
GGUGGUCCAAUUAAAAAAAACAAUCGCUAAAAAAUAGAAAAGCGAAAGCGGUCGACAAUUGAAGAAACAAAGGAUGAUCAUCAAAAGCCUCCGAUGUCCGUCAAAAGACGGCAAGGCUUCGCCGGAAAAUUCGGCGGAAAUAAAUGCGAAAAAAUCGGAAGGAAGAAGAGAGAAAAAUCUCCGGUAAUUGCGAAACGUAGUAAAUUACCGAGAAAAAUAAGAAGGAAGGGAAAAAAUCAAAUCGACGAUCGAA